GCGGCGCUCUCGGGUGCAGCGGCUCUCCGGCGAGGUUCGUGUUUUGGUGAUUCGGCUCCGGUCAACCUGUAGAGAAAAGAAUGGUGAUCACGGUGAUAUAAAAAUUGCAUCGAACGGAGGCCGGGAAGGGCCUCGUCGGAGGCAAAAACCGAGAGGGGGCGCGGCGGCGCCGCUGGGCUUCGGCCGCGUAUUCCGGCCGUUUGGCCGGGAUUUCGGUUUCGAUUUGGCCAUAGAGGAAUCAGUGCGGAAAAACGAGUCGGGGGUAUGAAAUUUACCUCGAUCGGCGGUCGGAAAUUUCCCCGGUGCGGCGGCGAGUGGCGGCGGGUGGCGGCGGUCGGCCUCUGGUUCGUCUUCUCCGGCGAGCGGCUGGCGGCUAGGGUUUGUGGUCUGGUGUGGGGGUUCUAUUUAUAACCCCUUGCCUUUUGAUCACAGCCGUUCAUUUUGUUUUAAUCUGGGCCGUUCGUUUUUGAUUGAAUCUGGGCCGUCCGUGCGAUUGAAUCUGGGCCGUCCGAUCGCGUGAUUGAUCUGGGCCGUCGGAUCGCACCCACGCG
This 551-nucleotide long non-coding RNA is filed under the name Carica papaya (papaya). Its description in RNAcentral is "long non-coding RNA (CPAP_LNC003355)". The record is from RNAcentral. Lineage: Eukaryota; Viridiplantae; Streptophyta; Magnoliopsida; Brassicales; Caricaceae.